This 375-nucleotide ribosomal RNA is filed under the name uncultured Alphaproteobacteria bacterium. RNAcentral's name for it is "bacterial SSU rRNA". It matches the Rfam family "Bacterial small subunit ribosomal RNA", at positions 521 to 896 of the family's 1533-position model. The record is from RNAcentral. Lineage: Bacteria; Pseudomonadati; Pseudomonadota; Alphaproteobacteria.
UAAUACGGAGGGGGUUAGCGUUGUUCGGAAUUACUGGGCGUAAAGCGCGCGUAGGCGGACCAGAAAGUUAGGGGUGAAAUCCCGGGGCUCAACCCCGGAACUGCCUCUAAAACUCCUGAUCUAGAGUUCGAGAGAGGUGAGUGGAAUUCCGAGUGUAGAGGUGAAAUUCGUAGAUAUUCGGAGGAACACCAGUGGCGAAGGCGGCUCACUGGCUCGAUACUGACGCUGAGGUGCGAAAGUGUGGGGAGCAAACAGGAUUAGAUACCCUGGUAGUCCACACCGUAAACGAUGAAUGCCAGUCGUCGGGUAGCAUGCUAUUCGGUGACACACCUAACGGAUUAAGCAUUCCGCCUGGGGAGUACGGUCGCAAGAUUA